Molecule: long non-coding RNA, 1156 nt
Filed under: Macaca mulatta (Rhesus monkey)
Lineage: Eukaryota; Metazoa; Chordata; Mammalia; Primates; Cercopithecidae
Description: lncRNA (ENSMMUG00000053689.1)
Source: RNAcentral
UUAGUUUGGGACUAAGAAAGGCAACCUCGGGAGGAGGCGAGCCUUGCGAUGAUGAAACUUCUAGGACAGUCUCCCCUCGCCCGCCACCCUGUGCAGGGCCUAGCAUAGCACGGCCAGAGCCACGGGAAAGGGCGGGGCAGGGAAGUCUGGAGAUGGGGGCGUGGAGAGGCUCGGCCGGGACCCCUACGCAUGCGCACCGCGACAAUUCACGAUGCCCGCCUACUGGCGCCCUAGCAACCGGGUUGCGAACCACCGUUUAUCCCGACUAAGUGGCUAUCCUGGGAGUUCUAGUGCCACUAGCUGGCUUCGGCUCUUCCCUGUCCGAGGUUCUUGUAAUUUCCGCUUAUUUCCUCCACGGGUGCCGAUUUCAUGUGUGUGUCCCCGAGUGCCUAAGCCGGCUCCUGAAAUGAGUACUCGUGGUUUCCGCGUGGGAACCAACCUCGAGCGCCAGUAGCCCUCACUCUACGGGCUGAGGUGGUUGCUGGGGCUGGGGCUGCUCCUGAGGCUUCAGGGCCGCCCGCUGCACGGCUUUCUACCUCCCCAGGCUAAUCGCAGUCAAUCUGCCAGGCGGAGCAAGAAAUCGCAUUUUGUCAGUUUUCUUUUAACAAAACAGAAAUGUGUAAAAGUUUGUGUAAAAUCUUACGAUCAAGACCAAAUGGACAAGCUGGCUUUUUUGAAGAAAGGAAUACGACUGAAUUACCAGCAUCACUGCUAUAAGCAUUCAGAUGAAAACCCUGUCACUUGUAAUGGACCCCCUGUGGAAAUUCCUGGAGAAUAUACGGAUAAGUUGAAUGUGACUUACACUUAUUCUGUGAGAUUGAAGAAAACAAAACUGUCAAGUGGGCUUCUAGGUGGGAUUAGAUUUUGGAGUCUGUGUCUCAUACUAAUAUUCAGUGGUUUAGCAUUUAAAGGUGUUAAGUGGAAGACAAAUGCCUUGCUGACAGCACUAUUAUGUCCGGGGUUAGUAUCUCACAUUCUCUUUUCCCUAUGCAAUUAUAUGCUUCCUUAUACUUCAUCUUGGAAAAAAAAAUCAUUGUAUACUAUAACAAAGAGUAGGAGGGACAUGAAUGACCACUGUGCUUUGUGUAGUCGCAGCAUUCACUUUCUGUUGUAUCUGCAUUCUUUCUUUCUUUUUUUUUUUUUUUGGACAUCUUAA